GGGGGCGAUCAUACCAGCACUAAUGCACCAGAUCCCAUCAGAACUCCGCAGCUAAGCGUGCUUGGGCGAGAGUAGUACUAAGAUGGGUGACCUCCUAGGAAGUCCUCGUGUUGCACCCC
Molecule: ribosomal RNA, 119 nt
Filed under: Macleaya cordata
Lineage: Eukaryota; Viridiplantae; Streptophyta; Magnoliopsida; Ranunculales; Papaveraceae
Source: RNAcentral